Molecule: ribosomal RNA, 364 nt
Filed under: Citrobacter koseri
Lineage: Bacteria; Pseudomonadati; Pseudomonadota; Gammaproteobacteria; Enterobacterales; Enterobacteriaceae
Description: partial 23S ribosomal RNA
Rfam family: Bacterial large subunit ribosomal RNA
Source: RNAcentral
UACAUAGGCUAACGAGGCGAACCGGGGGAACUGAAACAUCUAAGUACCCCGAGGAAAAGAAAUCAACCGAGAUUCCCCCAGUAGCGGCGAGCGAACGGGGAGGAGCCCAGAGCCUGAAUCAGCUUGUGUGUUAGUGGAAGCGUCUGGAAAGUCGCACGGUACAGGGUGAAAGUCCCGUACACGAAAACGCACAGGCUGUGAGCUCGAUGAGUAGGGCGGGACACGUGGUAUCCUGUCUGAAUAUGGGGGGACCAUCCUCCAAGGCUAAAUACUCCUGACUGACCGAUAGUGAACCAGUACCGUGAGGGAAAGGCGAAAAGAACCCCGGCGAGGGGAGUGAAAAAGAACCUGAAACCGUGUACGU